This 9384-nucleotide long non-coding RNA is filed under the name Taeniopygia guttata (zebra finch). Its description in RNAcentral is "lncRNA (ENSTGUG00000023875.1)". Lineage: Eukaryota; Metazoa; Chordata; Aves; Passeriformes; Estrildidae. The record is from RNAcentral.
UUCAAAGUCAAAUCAGUGGCUUGAACACAGCUUUAUCUACACAGGUGACACAAGAAACUCACACACUUUCUGUUAUUUAAAAAACAACACCAGCAUUAAAUUGUCCUGCCACAGCAACAGGAGUCUUGCCAGACUGCCAUGGAAGCAGGGACAAUACAGGAAGGAAAAUCUUUUAAACCUGACUCAUUUUGGAUUUCAAAAGUACAACUGACAUUGUUAUGCCAGCAGCACAGGCCUGCACAGGUGAGAGUAAGAGACAAUUCAUUUCAGUACAGCAUGAUUAUUUGGGUGUAUUUGAAAGUAAUUACAGAUAACAGAAGUAGAAAUAAGCUGGAAAACAUCAAGAAGAAAGUUCCUCUUCACAGAAACUAAUACAUGGAAAAUGCAGAUCCUUCCAAUGUUUUGUAUAGCCUUUUUAAAGUUAUUUAUAAGUUCCUAAGGCUGAAGAAUACACCUCUUGGAAGACAGAGAUUUUUCACAGCCCUUUAAAAUAGAAAAAGUUCGUUAAUAGAAUCAAAAGUUCAUAAGUUAAAAAAAUUUCCAUUUUCUAACUGCAUCUCUCUAUCAGAGAUUACAUGAAAAGGCAAAAAAUGUAAGUCCAUAGGCCCAAAUAAUGUGAUUUGUGAUACAGAGAUAUGUGUGCCCUCUGAAACCCUCAGCAAAGGGAUCAAGAGUCAAUAAUGGUUUCUUCAGCUUUUUACAGGGGAAGCAGUUUAGAAACAAAGUGUCAAUCUCAUAAAAAUCAUCACAUGGAAAUUACUGAUGAACUUGGGGACAAAAUUAUUAACAGGAGCAGUGUAGAAUCAGUUGCACUUCUUUAGUUCUUUGAAAAUGUUAUCCAGUUGUAUUUGGCACCCUUUUAUAUUUGUAGAACAGAAAACCUCCCUUGUUAUUCUGUACAUUCAGAUAGUAUUUGAGUCUCAUGGACUUUCACCUUUUCUUUGCAAUUAGGUUUUGUCAGUUAUUUGUAAUUUUGUCACCUCCAGAAUGGAUUACCCCAUCAUUUAGGGCAAGCCCAGAGGGACCUUUGGCACCACCAGUCUGUGGCUGCAGAGGAGUUUUGACCAAUGUGCCCACACCACACUCAGACUCUGCCCAUUGCUUUGGAUACCUCCAGUUCUUGGUGAAAUUCAUACUUUUAGUGAUACAUUGGGAAGCCUUUGAUAAUUUGGAAUUCCAUUUAAAUAUAGCGUCUCCUUCAAAUUUGAGUUGUUGCUGUCGGAAGCUUGGUUUUUCCAAACCCAUGAGCUGAGUAUUUUUGAGAUCAAAAAUCUGCAGUUGGCACAUCCUGGGCACUGUAAGUCAAACCAGCUACAAAUGUUACUGUAUUUCUAAAUUUGAAUUGUCUGGUUCUUUGCCCCUUUGUUGCUGGAUUGGCAGGGGUGGGGUAUUCCUGGAUUUUUGAAGGAGCUUUACAAAAGGCAGAUCAACUUCCUAGCCUGGAAGUCAGAACAUUCCUGGUUUUACAGGUUUUUAUGCACAAACCUGCUGGCCUGUGGGGACUAAGGAGUGCUGCAAAACCUCUCCUUUGUGUCAGCACGAGGAGCAGUUUGAGCCCUCCAACAUCAGGCAAAUUGUUACACACCAGGAUGAUCCCCUCCAGACCAGGCAGGCUGGGGCUGAGCCCUGAGAUGCUGCAUAAUAAACUAAAUAGGAAAAUGUGCAUGUCUGAAAAGGGAAUUAUCUCUGUGGUAUAAUGACUGCUAUGCCUCCCUGGUGUGGGACUUUGUUCAAGCACUUUUUUUUUCCAAGCUGCUAUUGCCAGCUCCAAAUGUUCAAGAACUACAGUUUGACCCUCAAAAUCACAAGCCUGUCUGUGAAAUUAUAAAUGUGGAGCUCUUUUACUGUGCUUUCUGUUAGGGUGCACCUGGGUCACACUUGCAAGCUUUAUACUCUAACCAUUAGGACUAGAAACUUACUUUAAAUUAAAGAAAGAGGAAAGCUGAGUUUCUAACCUCAUUACACAACUGUAGUAGCUGGAGUGUAAGUGAAACAUCAAACAUCACAAGACUUGUGAUAAAAUCAUGAGUGCUGACAACAUCAAUUUAGAGUAGGAGGUGGGAUAGCAGGGGAAACUCAGGGCAAAUGGAUUUACUUUUUAUCUUAAUGUUUUUACAGGCUGUCUGCUUUUAUCUUUAAUCAGAAGUUUUCAGUGGCAGUUCUUUCUUCGUGUAUCUGUGCAUGACAUUAAAAGGUCACUUCUGCAUUAAUACCUGAUGCCAUUUGCUAACUGCAUCUCUCUAUCAGAGAUUACAUGAAAAGGCAGGUGUACUGAUGGUACACCUGGUGCUAAUAUCACAGCAAAGAGGAAUUAUGGAAGUCCAGGUCAUCAGUGCAUGGGUAAAACAGCAUUGAGAGGGAUUCUAGUCCCCUGUGGGGUGUGUGUGUGAAGAAUACAGGAUGUUUCUCAUGGCUCUGAUAUUUACUGUCUGAGCAGAGAAUAUUGUAUGGAGAAUCUGCCAGCAAAGCUCCACAAUCUUUGUGGAAUGGGUUGUUUUAAGGCACUGCAUGCUGGAUUUUUUUUAUGCCUGAAAAUUACCUCAAUGAAAAAUAACAUGUAAACUUACAAAGGUAGGUACAGUUAAACCUUUCAUUAGAAUAAAUUGUCUGUAAUUAAGCCAAGUAAUUAACGGAUCACUAUGAUUAUAGAUCAACAGACUGCCCAGAUCAAGAAUUCAGGUCAGUUUUUCAUGAUGCCAAAGUGGCAACAGUGACAAAGUGGUCAGCUGUCCCUCCACUAUUAGAGGCAGUUUCCAAACCAUGCUUUUAUUGUUGGAAAUGCUCCAGUUUGAGGGAAUUGUGCACUCACCAGUCCUUCCAAUCACAUGCAAAGAGUUGUCAGUGGCAGGUUCCUUGGUCACCCAGCUGCUGGUCUGAUCUGUCACUGAUCUGAGAGUGCCAGGGCAGCAGAGUGGCCACUUAGAAGGCAGCUCCAGCACAGGGAAUACUCUUGCUCUACCAUCAUAAUCCUGGGAUUUAAAGUAGGGAGCUAAGCCUGGUCCAAAUGGUCAGUUUGCUUCAGCUGCUUAGCACAGCACCAGGGGUACAAGCAGAGUGCACAAAUGAAUUUCAUGGUGGCAAGCCAGAGGUUUUUAUAUGACAUAAUGCUGAUAUUAUAUAUCUUCCACUCAUGAAACCAGCUCCAGAUGCAUCUGGGUGGGACUGAGGUCUUUAGUUCAUGGGUGAUUGUGUUGCUAAUUGGAAGGAGAGACGCAGCCCCUGUGUGAAUCAAGAGGAGGUGUUGAGGGUCUGUAGUGUGGCUCUUUUCACAGCAGAAGGGAUCCAGCCCAGCACUAUUCCAGCAGAUAUAUAAUGAAAUCAGAAUAUCCCAUUAUUCCCCCCAAAAACAUCACAAACUCAGAAAAUUCAAGACAAGUAUACACAAUUUGAAAAUCCUAAUAACCAUAAGUUUGCUUUGAUGUGAUACAUAACAAGUAACUCACAAGCAUUAGAGAAUUUCAUAGUUCACAAGCAUGAGAGAAUUUCAUCGUUCAUAGCCUGAAUUUGGGAAAAAACCCCACAAUUUUAGAAGAGAAAUUACUUUUAAAAACAUGCUUCAGUACAUUUUUGUUCCACAUACUGCUACAGGAAAAGGGUUUGACCUGUUUGUUCUCAUGCAGGUGAUUUGGUGUUCGGUCUGAUUUGAUAGAUUUCAUCUUUCUACAAAACUCAAGUACAGAGGUCAAAGAAGGAAAUGCUUUGUCAUCCCUGCCUGCUUUCAUGGGGGAGCAUUGAGGUUAGCCUUCUGGAUGUAAAAUCUUACCACAGAGACAGAAAACAAGAUUGGCUAACCACAAUGACUUGACUCAAAGAAUUAGCAGCUCUGACAUAAUGGAGACAUUCCUGAAAAAUCUCAAGUCAGAGUUCUGCUCACUUUUGUGAAUAAAUAGCAAUCAAAAAAUCUAGGGCAAUAAAACUCCAUAGGCAUCUCAGAAUUUUAUUUCAGCCAACAUCAAUCUUCCUUCCCUUCAGACAAGCUAAAUUAUACUGGUAAAUCAGCGACAUUAAAUCAGUCAAACCAGCUGAAUGCAAAAGCUGAGGGAACAGACCAAAUUUGAACUGUGUAUACUGAGAGAAAGAAAACUGCUCAUAAAGUUAAAUCUUAAAUAAACAUGAACCUUUAGAGGGGGUACACAGGGAAAAGGAAAGACUUCAGUCCAAAACUUCAGAGAGGCCUCUGAAUAAAUGUACAGGGGAGUGGGAAAUGGACUUGGAUUUCUCUGUGCUUCAGAGGCUGCAGCUUAUGGAGCCAGAGCUGUAAAGGAGCUAAAUCAGACUUACCAAGAGGACAGAGCCAUGGCUAGCAGGGCUAACCACCAGGAGCAUUCCCAGUCUGAUGGAUUCUGUAGCUGACACUGCUGGAAUGAUGCUGUUGGAGGCGCAGGAUCCGGCGUGUUCCAACCAUCUGCACAAAGUAGGCCACGGCAGCCCCGGCUCUCGGGGGACUCCUGGAUGUCACUGCAGUGGCUGAGGACAUGACAUCCCUGCCUUUGCAGCUCAGGACCCUUCCUGCAGGGACAUCCCUGCCUUUGCAGCUCAGGACCAUCCCUGCAGGGACAUCCCUGCCUUUGCAGCUCAGGACCCUUCCUGCAGGGACAUCCCUGCCUUUGCAGCUCAGGAUCAUCCCUGCAGGGACAUCCCUGCCUUUGCAGCUCAGGACCUUCCCUGCAGGGACAUCCCUGCCUUUGCAGCUCAGGACCAUCCCUGCAGGGACAUCCCUGCCUUUGCAGCUCAGGACCAUCCCUGCAGGGAUGGAGAUGCUGGCAUGACGGCUGCCAGGUCACCGAUGGGGCAGUGAAAUCUCCCUGUUAGGUGAAGCUGAUUUGUGAGGAAGAUACAGGACCAGGAACUGCUGAGCUCCAGGGCAGUGUGUGUUUGGUUCUGCUGAUCAUACAAGAGGGAAAAUUCAGUAAUGGAACCUCCACUGGCUGAGGUAGCUGUGGAAAUGCUGAUCAACUGCAGGGUCGUGCCUCAAACCCUGUGAGACUCCAGAGGUACAGGCACUCUUUUCACUAAAGCCAAGGACUUGUCUUACAUCACCCAUAUCUCUCCCACACAGCUCCCAAAUGACACAGGACACGGGGUUUGAAUGCUCCAAUACAACAUUCUUCAAGCUUGCCACAUCUGUAGGAACAGGAUGGCUCACUGCUUUGUAGGUGCCCUGGAACAACCUUUAUUCAGAGCAAAUGUUGGGGAAACUCUAAUGAAGGAACACCCAUGCACAUACAGACAGCAGAAACCAGUAAGAAAAUCCUGAUUUUCUCCUCCUGUACUGCAGAUCAGCUGCAGGAGGCAUUUUGCUGUUCCGUCCAGUGAGGCAGCUGUGAACUAUCUGUGGCUGGGAUCUGCCAUCCCCAUACAACCAUUUUGAGUGAGGUUUUCUCAAGGAGUGCCCAGAGAUGGAAAACUGAAUUUGCCUUAAUUCAGAGUUCACCACAGAUCUCCCUCUGCUCUACUCCUGUUGAGCAAGGGACAUCUGAACUUGUCUGCAGAAAGCAGCUGAAAAAAAGGCAGAAAGGGGCAAGAAUGACUUGAGAUUACUCAUCACUUGAGAUUCCUUUGAUUUCCUCUCACAAUAUGAAACAGUAGAGGUGGAGCAGGUUUAGUAGAUCAGUGAAUGCAUCUUACUUGAAGAACAGGAUUAAUAUCUUCCCACAGCCAUCCACAAUGAAGAAUUCUUCAGUUGCCAAAAUAAUUCUGUGCUGAACAGAGGAAUCCACAGGUGGGAAGCAGUUCUCAGUGAAUUUGCUUUCUGGGUACUUAAUAACUGCACAUAUUCAACAGCAUCACUCUCGAAACAAACAAGAGCAUUUUCUCUGUGGUGCCCUCCUGCCUGUUGGCCAAAGGGAUCAGAAUCCCCAGUUCUGUUCCUAAAGGCUGGAUCCACACUACCAACUGGUGGGUUGAUCCUUGCCAAGACAUUUUUAGAGGAAUUAUAAAAAUCCCUCUUACAGAGGGGAAUUAUAUGCAGUACUUAGGCAAAACAGGCAUUCCAUUUAUAAAUAUAAUUACUUCUGCUAUUCUAUCAAGAAAAAGAAUGUAGUAGUGAGGGAUACAACAGAGAAAAUUAUUUAUGUGUUGACACUUGACAAUAUAAAUAGAAAACAGAUCUGGUUGGAACUAAGUGGGAAAUGAAAAAAACAUGAGAAAAUAUGUAACUGAGAUUACCAGUUGUGGGGAUAAUUUAUGACCACUCCUAAUGCAUUCUUUCCAAUGGAAGUACAGUCCCUCAUUUUGCUUUAUGUUUGGACUGUAAUUAUGUGUGCACUUAAUUAGCAACAAAUGCACAAGCUUACUUUGUGUGUUUUUGGCAAAUUAUCUUCUUUUGACUGAUGCCCUGAACACUACAAAGCAGACACUGGUCUGCUGUGUAAAAGAGGGAACAGAAGAUGGCUUGGACAUAGUCCCUGUGCUUUAGUGAGCUGUAGCACAGGUUGGGGAAGAAAGGAGUGAGAGUGCCAUUCACACUCACAAGCAGUGACUGGGUGAAAUAUUAUCUAUCACCUCAGGAAUGAUUCUGACCCCAUCUCUUGUAUUCACUCAGGUUGCUUGCCUGGGUAUGUCCAUUACUGCACAUCUUCUGCUUUAGAUUUGGGAAGAGUAUUUUUCUCCAGCAUCUUCACUCUUAAUAUUAGUGAUUUAUCACAUAUGGUGCACUAUAUUUUUACAAAGCUGUAAGAUACCAUGGUGAUUAACACCAUAUGAGAACCUAAAUAGAAGGGAACAGGAUAACAGAAACGUCCUCCCAGCAGACACAGGGCUUUGGCUUGUUUUUAGAGACAGUAUCUCAGCUGCAUGAUUUUACUCUGUACAUAAGAAUUCUAGAAUUUCCAUAAUAGAAAACUGUACUGUACUUGACAAUGCUGUGGAGAGAACAAAAAAACUCAUGUUUAAUUUCCCUCUAGCCUUUAACUAGGAUUUUCAGAUCAAUUUGGAGAGAUUGAUUAGUCUAACUCUUUUUAUCAUACGGAUUUAUUAAUUUGAUUUUAAAAGGCAGGAGAAAAAAUGUAAGAACCACAAGUAUUACCCCUUGUGUUUAUACAUGUACACAUAUAUAUUCUGGUAGGAAUUUCUGGUAGGAAAAUAUCCCAGCUUCACACAGCCUUGCAAACUUGUCCUGUCAAUACUGCAGUCACCACACAAAAUCUAUGCACUGAAUUGACAUGGUAAUGAGAAACUAAUCACAUUUUACUUACCCACCCAACCACUGUGAAAGCCUGGAGACACUGAAGGCUGCUUCAAGUGCACACAUCACUGCUGGGCACGGCCCAGCCCUUCUUUCCAAACAGCUCUGUCUUCACCCACCUGGGUUAGGGCUGGGAGAGCCUUCCCCCUGCACCACUGGAUCCAAAGCAGGGAUUUUACUGAAGUGUGGCAGCCAGCAAAAAAAGGGGGGAUUGUCUCUAGGCACGGGAUAAACCAGAAAGACAGCCUGGGUGAGUCCCCUGUGGUACAAAUGUGCUGGACAUGAAUUUUGGCUCCUGCUUUCCCUGCAGGGGAAGCCAAAGAUGUGUCUGCAGGCUGGGCAUCCCUGGGUACUGCUUGAUCCUCCAGGGCCAGGGCUGGCUGAUCCUCCAGGAGUCCAGGAGGGCUGCAGGGAGCGUGGGGAGAUGAGCAUGAGCAGCUCCACAUGCAUCUUCCCCCCAAGCAGCACAGCACAGGUUAAAUUAAAAAAUGCACUGGGGAAAAGGUUGUUUCUGUAAAACUGGUCACUAGCAGCCAGGCCCCCAGGGAUGCUCUCCUUGCCUAAGGAUGAAAUGGGAUUAUGAUGGUAAUGUUUGCUGCACUGUAAUUAAGGUGGUGUCAGGACUUUCAUUAAAAAGUGUGUUUUUGUUGAGGGACUACGGCUUGGAGAAAAUUUUUGCUUGAGGCUGAAAUAUAACAUGGUUCUCAGCCAGAAAACACAUGCACAACCUUUAUUAUAUAUGUAAUUUAGAUCUUUAGUCUCGGCUGUGAAGGCUCUGCUAUUGUUUCCAUAGGGGUAUGUAGCUAAUUGGUUUAAAAAAUUAGUUAUUAAAGAAGUGAAAGACUGAAUUCUGUUCUGGAACCUCUGUAUGUGACGUGUCCCCAUUAAUUGUCUGCAAUUAACUCCAAAAACCAAAGGCCAAAUGCUGCCCUUUUUACUCAGAAACACAAUGUUAUUGAAGUAAACAGCUGGAAACAGGAUUGGGCACCUGUGUCCAAGUUUUUACCUCACUACAACCCAAGGCCUCUCCCACAUUAUAACAAUUCUACUGAACGUGGGGCAGAGAUUAUUUCCUUGCAAAACUGGCAAUCUAUGGGAAGCCUAUUUCCAGAAACAGUAUUGAAAUUCCUAUUAUCACAGCACCCAGGAUCUCCGAUAAGGAACCACAACCCUGUGCACUAGGUUCUGUGCAAAAACACAGAAUAAAAACCCAGUAUAUGAUAAUGCACACCAACAAAUCCUUUCCCCCAUUUCGUGGCCAGGUUUGUAUUAUUUCUGUUAAGUAAUCUGAGUGUAACACACCACUCCUGCAAACAGCAAACACUGCUCAGACAUUUAUUUAACUUUCUGCAUGAUAAAGUCCCAACUUCACAGCAAUCUAUUGUCUUUCCCCAGGGGUGCACACAAAGGGGCCAACUACUGCCCUGGGUUCUUGCUGCUGGCUCUGGGGUUUUUCCAGCUAUCUGCACUUUUUGGCACACACUGCUUUCAGGUACUAAUUUGAUUUUCCUCAAACUAUUUGGAUUAGAACCCCCACACAAUUAAUAGUAUUAUAGUCACAAAAUAUAAUUUCUCUGCUGCCCACCACCACAUAGAUAAAAGAAUACUGAAGUUUAUAAAAUUACAGUUUUUGUAAAUGUGUAAACUAGACAGGAAUUCACAGAGAACGGAACAGAAGUUCCUAAGUAACUUGGAGAUAUUUAUGUGACUUUACAGGGAUGCUAAAAAAUACAACAUAACAUAGCACUAUUCAUUGUUCCUCCUAAGAAAAAAUUAUAUAAAUUGCAAGUUUAGGAAGAAUUUAAAUAUUUCUGCAAAUGUGUAAAGAACAAACUUUAAUCAGGAGGUAGUUGUCUUCAGUGAACCUAUUUAUGCAUCUAGUUACUUAUCUGCCUAAUUUAGCAUCCCCAGGAUCAUGGCCUCAGUUUGGAAUAACUUAAUGAAUUUCAGUAGAGUGCCUCAGCUACCACUUGUAAAAAUAGGAUGAUUCAAAUGCAAAUCAGUGCAAACAUGUGCAAAAUUAACAUUCCUAAUAGACAAAGCUUCUCCAUAUAGGAAGGUAUUAUUAAUGCUACUACCAGAGGUAGGCAAGCAUAAUUCCUCAUGUGGACAAACUCAAUCCGAGCACCUUUUUUUUGAUUUCACAUAAAUAAAUUAAAGGAAUUAGACUUAAUCUUUAAAAAAAAGAAAAAAAAAAA